UUGCUUUCCCACAAGCUGUUUGCAGGUCACAUACUGAUGAAGGGCAGAGAGAAAGUCCUCGUAAGUGAUGUUUAGGUGGAAAGGCAAAAAGACAACCUCAAUCUGCUGUGCUAGGUAAGAAAGCUUAAUGUGCUGUCCACAAGACCAAACCUCAGUACUAAAUCAGGAUCAGGGAAACCAUUUGAACUGAGUAAACUGUCUAACGUAGCUCUAUCCAUAUCUGUAGGUCUCGUUUGCUGCCGGGCUAUGAACUCGCAAAAAGUAGCUCUCAUAAUAUCUGCUUUUCCAUCUUCUGGCGACAGCACCACCACUGCCAAAUGGCAGUUUAAAACUUGAUCGUCUUUGUCAUUACCAUUUGCAAACUCUGGUAUGCGGAGACCAGAGCCAAGGGGCUGUUUUCCUGCGGGAAUUUACACUGAUUCGAAGAGAGAGCCUUCAUGAAGAUUUCCUGUCUGACCUCUUGAAUAGUCACAAAACUGAAGACUUGCAAGGGGGUAACUCAGCACCUUGGAAGGAGGGGGAGAUGCCAAGGUUGAACCACAUGCCUGUGUACAGAUGAUGAAACAGAGAGUAUAAAGACAAGACCUAGAGUGCAGAGACAAGAGUAACAGCUAGAGCACAGAGACAAGACCUGUACCAGGUAGGUCCCCAAAGCCCAGAUCCUUCUGCUACAUUCUGCACAGAGGGAUGCAGUUCAACCCUGGCAUCUUCUAUACAGACUACUAAAACUUUUUCCAUAUCAGCAGAAAGUUUCUUUCACUUUCUCAUGUGUUUACUGGAGUAGCACUUUUAAUUUCAUCAAUAACUUUUCCUUUGCACUCACAACUUGGCUAACUGUUUGGUGCAAGAGGCCUAGCUCUCAGUCUAUCUCAGCUUCUUUUGACAUGCUUUUCUCACUAAGAUUAAUCAUUUCUGGCUUUUGAUUUAAAGUGAGAGAUGUGCAACCUUUCCUUUCACUUAAACACAUAGAGGACAUUGUAGGGUCAUUAACUGGCCUAAUUUCAAUAUUGUUGUGUCUCAGGGAAUAGGGAGGCCAAAAGAGAGGAAAAGAAAAUGACUGGUCAGUAGAGUAUCAGAACAUAUACAGCAUUGAUUACGUUUGCUGUCUUAUCCAGGCAUGGUGUGUGGUGACCCAGAACAAUUUCAAUACUGAUGUUAUGUUGAUCUGUGUCUAACAGAAAUAAUAACUCUGAAAGAGUUUGAAAUGGCGUGAGAAUUACCAAAAUGUGAUGCAAAGACAUGAAGUGAAGACAUGCUGUUGGAAAAAUAGCACCAAUAGACUUGUUUGAGUCAGGGUUGUCACGAAUUUUCAAUUUGUAAAAAUGCAAUACAUGCAAAGUGCAGUGAAGCAAAGCAUGAUAAAGAGAGGUGUGCCUGUAUCUAUUAUUAAUCAUAGUCACCAUGCUGUACAGUAGAUCUAAAAAAAAUCCCCAAUAUAUUCCUUCUGUCUGAGAUAUUGUACCCUUUGACCUCUAUCUCCCAUUCCUACCUCCUACCACCCCCAGCCUGCGUAACCACCAUUCUAUCUGCUUCUAUGAGUUAGGUGGUUCUAGAUUCCACAUAUAAGAAAGAACAUGUGAUGCUUGUUUUUCAGUGACUGGCUUAUUUAACUUAGCCUCGUGUUCUUCAUUUCCAAUUGUCUCGAUAUUACAAGAACUAGAAAUUUCCAUUGAGACGCCAGUAUUUGUAGAAAAGUUGUCAUCCCUUAUGUAAUGGAAGAUAUUUAUUCUGGGUCAAUUCAGUUUGGCAAUAUUGCUUCCUUAUAACUUGUUUGUGCUUCAGAACUAGUCAAGUAGUAUGAAUAAUGAAGGAACACUUUUUUCCUUCUUUUUCUUUUUGUUUGUUCUUGACUUACUUAACCUAUAAUGCAAUGGACUUUUGUAGUUUCCAAUAGAGAUAACUUCAGAUAGGAAUAAACCCCAAUGUUCUAACAUGGAGGAGACACAUAGGAAUAUUUUGAUUGGAUGCAGGGGAACAUUUAGAAGGUCUUGCUCAUAAGUUGAUAAUAAUGAUUGGGGUUUUUUGGUUUGUUUUUUCGUUGUGUAGAGAAUAUUUUCCAGCAGAGUCAAGCAGUUCUGGUAACGUUAGUUAAGGCUAAAUUAAGCCCUAUUAGAGUAAGUGGUGAUCCCAGUAGUAAGAUUUUAAGAGGACCAGAAAAGGCCUCUUUAUUCUGCUAUCUAUUAAACUUAGGUAUAAGAAUUAUUAACAUUAGAGAGUCAUUCUCAGAAUUUGUGUCCUUUUGGCACGCACUGAAAAUGCAACAAUGCCAGUGGGCAUUAUUAAACUAAUUUACAGUAAGGUGCCGGUGAUCUUUCCAGCCCACUUUCUUGUAAAAGGUGAGAUUGAGCCUGACGGUGGUGCAGAAGGGAAACAGAAUCAAAAGAGAUAAAAACAUCAUGAUAUCAAAUUCAGAGUGAGCUAUGGACAGUCCAAAUGGGUAUGAUAGAACUUGUCUGUUUUUAUCUAUAAAGGUGUUGCAAAUAAUUUCUCUUAUGCUUGAAGAGGUAGCUGCUAAGUAAUGUUCCACUGUGAGAAUUAUGUUGUUUUUAUUGUGAAUGAAAAAACUGUUUCAUUCCAAUAUUUUUUGUAGAUAGAAUAUGUUUGGUGGGAAAUUAAAGAGAAUCCUUAUUCUAAUAGUGUUUUAGUUAAGCAAUACUUAAAAGACCUGUUAUUUAUUUAUUUAUUUUUGAGACAGAGUCUCACUUUGUUGCCAGGCUAGAGUGAGUGCUGUGGCGUCAGCCUAGCUCACAGCAACCUCAAACUCCUGGGCUCAAGCAAUCCUACUGCCUCAGCCUCCCGAAUAGCUAGGACUACAGGCAUGGGCUACCAUGCCUGGCUAAUUUUUUCUAUAUAUAUAUACUAUUUGGCCAAUUAAUUUCUUUCUAUUUAUAGUAGACGAGGUCUUGCUCUUGCUCAGGCUGGUUUCGAACUCAUGACCUUGAGCAAUCCGCCUGCUCGGCCUCCCAGAGUGCUAAGAUUACAGGCGUGAGCCACCGCACCUGGCCCAGAGACGUUUAAUUUAUAAGUUGCAUUUUCACCACUGCUUCUUUUGGGAACAAUAUAACGGUGUUGUUGGUAUGAAAACAUGGAUAGACAUUUUAUAAGACUGGCAAAGGAAAUACAGUGGUGAAGGAUAGACCAUAACCGAGUUGAAUGAACACUGAGCCUUUUUACACACUGAUUAAGUGAUUAUUUAAUAUUGUAGGCAAUAUUUCAAUAUCAGGUACAUUCUUUAAAAAUUCAACAAAAUGGUCUGUAUUUUCCCCUCAUAUUUGGGUCUAAGUCAUACAUAUCUAUACCUGUCAGACAGUCUCUUGACUCAGUUGGCCUUUCCACUGCAUGGCCUGAAUUGUCCGUGGCCAUAAGCCAGAAUAAAUGGCUUGUGUUUUGUGUUACCAGGAUGAGAGACCAUUAGAAAAGGAUGAUAUUUCCAGUGGUCAAUAAACAUUUUGCCUAUUUUCUUAUGGCUACUACAUCUAAAGUAUUGUACAACAAUAAUCGAUACUGACAGUUAUUUUCUCAUUUAUUCAUUCAUUCCCCAAACAUUUAUCCAACCCUUUCUGUCUGCCAGGUGCUGUGAUAGAGGACAGAGUUCAAACCCCUAAGGACUUAGGAUAGAGACCACAAGCCUGGGGUUUGGAGCCAGAUAGGCUGGCUUAAUAUCUGGGCUUCCCGACUCACAUAGUGACUGGUAAUAAAUUAUUUACCUUCCCCAAGUUGCUAAAUAUUCCUUUGCCUUUAUUCUUCCUCUUGUCUUCACUAUUGCCGUUUUCUGGCCUCUCUUAAUUUUAGCCACCUGUGUCCUUGAUCACAUCUUCUUAAGCUUCUUAGCCCUGUUCCAUCAUGAUACCUUGUCAAGGUUACCAUUAAUCUUGCCUUUUGCAGUAGAGCUUUUCUGCCUACUAAUAUGCCCUUCCCAAGUCUUUAUUAGCCUAAAAAAUCCAAAAUGCAUUUCUUCUCUUUUUAUAAAAUAAAUUUUAUUAUAUAUGAGGUAUACAACACACACGAUACAUAUAAACAAAAUUAACAAACCUUUAGCUACUCUAACUAGAAAAGAGAGAGCUAAGACUCAAAUAAAUAAAAAAUGAAAGCGAAAAAAUUACAACAGGUGCCUCAGAAAUAAAAAGGAUCAUAAAAGACUGUUAUGACCAAUUAUAUCCAAAAAUAUUGGAUAACCUAGAAGAAAUGGAUAAAUUUCUGAAAAAAUACAACCUAUCAAGAUUUUGUCAGGAAGAAAUAAAAAGGCCUAAACACUGAACAUACUAAUAACAAAGAGAUUGAAGAAGUAAUUACAAACCUUGCAACAGGAAGGAAGGAAGGAAGGAAGGAAGGAAGGAAGGAAGGAAGGAAGGAA
Molecule: long non-coding RNA, 4354 nt
Organism: Microcebus murinus (gray mouse lemur)
Lineage: Eukaryota; Metazoa; Chordata; Mammalia; Primates; Cheirogaleidae
Source: Ensembl